UGGCGAACGGGUGAGUAACGCGUGAGUAACCUGCCCUGGAGUGGGGGACAACAGUUGGAAACGACUGCUAAUACCGCAUAAGCCCACGGAUCCGCAUGGAUCUGCGGGAAAAGGAUUUAUUCGCUUCAGGAUGGACUCGCGUCCAAUUAGCUAGUUGGUGAGGUAACGGCCCACCAAGGCGACGAGUGGUAGCCGGACUGAGAGGUUGAACGGCCACAUUGGGACUGAGACACGGCCCAGACUCCUACGGGAGGCAGCAUG
This 261-nucleotide ribosomal RNA is filed under the name uncultured bacterium. Its description in RNAcentral is "partial 16S ribosomal RNA". It matches the Rfam family "Bacterial small subunit ribosomal RNA", at positions 96 to 353 of the family's 1533-position model. The record is from RNAcentral.